Beta vulgaris subsp. vulgaris (sugar beet) is the source of this 970-nucleotide long non-coding RNA. RefSeq lists it as uncharacterized. The transcript is spliced from 2 exons. The record is from RefSeq and is a predicted model, not a curated record. NCBI's taxonomy places the organism in Eukaryota, Viridiplantae, Streptophyta, Magnoliopsida, Caryophyllales, Amaranthaceae.
UUCAGAUUUCUUUUAUUAAAAAUAUAAUUCUUUUACUAGCUUUGACUUUAUCUUUGAAGUGGUCAAAAACAAAUUCCUAGAUUUACUAGGUUUACUAUCUAACUAGUUAUUAGGCCCGGGCAAUGCCCCGGGUAAGAAAAAUUUCAUUUAUUAAUAUUCUACUUUGAUAUGAUAUCACUAAAUACAACUUGGUCUAGUGGUUAAAACUUUAGUACAUGAACUUGAGGUCACGGGAUCAAAACCUAUACUAUGCAAUUUCUAAUUUUUUUUAUUGUACAUGGAUUACAUGAACUAAAACUCCCUAGGGAGAGCGCCAAAGUGGCACCAUUCCUGGUUUACGCACGCCUUUUAAUAUAUUAGUAUAGAUUAGAGUUGGAAAAAAAAAGGAAAAAAAAAGCAAAAGAAAAAAAGAAAAAAUACAAAUACCUAACCUACAGUAUCAUCACCAAUUCAUCACGACAUUUUUUCCUCCGCAAAACUUCAUCUUCUUAUUCUAUAUUUCACAUUCUUUUUCUAUUUUGUUUUUUUCCUCUUUAAUUCUUCCUUCAACCAUUAUUACACAUCCAUUGAUACAUCAUCUCCACCUUCAUCAUCUCUAGUUCGUUAGUUUUAAAAAAUAGGAAAUUUUUGGGUUAUUGGACUUGCGAUUUUCGGAUCAAGAGGUCGAGAUUGUUGGGUCUUUAUAGUGUAAUCUCACUUUUAUUACUUUUCCUAAUCAAGGACUUGAAGAUAGUUAGCGCCAGUUGGGUUAAAGAGUGCGUUGGAUCCCUUUUGGUUUAAUUUGGACUUUAAAAAGACUUCCGCUGUUAUUCAUUUGAUUAUAAGAUUUAUGUUCUGGUUUGUAAUAAUUAUUUUACAUUCUAUUUAGUUGGUCUGUAAUAAUUAGUUAAAACUUAUUGGUUAUUGUUUUAGUGAGAACCAUUAGCCUUGCGGUUAUUAUUAAUAAUUAUCGCGGCGUAGCACCUUUGGA